CUGCAUGGCUGUCGUCAGCUCGUGUUGUGAAAUGUUGGGUUAAGUCCCGCAACGAGCGCAACCCUUAUCCUUUGUUGCCAGCGGUCCGGCCGGGAACUCAAAGGAGACUGCCAGUGAUAAACUGGAGGAAGGUGGGGAUGACGUCAAGUCAUCAUGGCCCUUACGACCAGGGCUACACACGUGCUACAAUGGCGCAUACAAAGAGAAGCGACCUCGCGAGAGCAAGCGGACCUCAUAAAGUGCGUCGUAGUCCGGAUUGGAGUCUGCAACUCGACUCCAUGAAGUCGGAAUCGCUAGUAAUCGUGGAUCAGAAUGCCACGGUGAAUACGUUCCCGGGCCUUGUACACACCGCCCGUCACACCAUGGGAGUGGGUUGCAAAAGAAGUAGGUAGCUUAACCUUCGGGAGGGCGCUUACCACUUUGUGAUUCAUGACUGGGGUGAAGUCGUAACAAGGUAACCGUAGGGGAACCUGC
This 474-nucleotide ribosomal RNA is filed under the name Salmonella enterica subsp. enterica serovar Thompson. RNAcentral describes it as "bacterial SSU rRNA". It matches the Rfam family "Bacterial small subunit ribosomal RNA", at positions 1041 to 1515 of the family's 1533-position model. Lineage: Bacteria; Pseudomonadati; Pseudomonadota; Gammaproteobacteria; Enterobacterales; Enterobacteriaceae. The record is from RNAcentral. RNAcentral also lists the same sequence under 5 other names.